UACGUAGGGGGCUAGCGUUGUCCGGAAUCAUUGGGCGUAAAGAGCGUGUAGGCGGCCCGGUAAGUCCGCUGUGAAAGUCGGGGGCUCAACCCUCGAAUGCCGGUGGAUACUGUCGGGCUAGAGUGCGGAAGAGGCGAGUGGAAUUCCUGGUGUAGCGGUGAAAUGCGCAGAUAUCAGGAGGAACACCGAUUGCGAAGGCGGCAUCCUGGACCGGUAUUGACGCUGAGGAGCGAAAGCCAGGGGAGCAAACGGG
This 253-nucleotide ribosomal RNA is filed under the name uncultured bacterium. Its description in RNAcentral is "partial 16S ribosomal RNA". It matches the Rfam family "Bacterial small subunit ribosomal RNA", at positions 524 to 776 of the family's 1533-position model. The record is from RNAcentral.